Long non-coding RNA from Helianthus annuus (common sunflower), 588 nucleotides. RefSeq lists it as uncharacterized. The record is from RefSeq and is a predicted model, not a curated record. The transcript has 3 exons. Lineage: Eukaryota; Viridiplantae; Streptophyta; Magnoliopsida; Asterales; Asteraceae.
AAAAGUAUAUGUGUUCCAAAAUUUUACAUCGGUCCAUAUUUGACCACCUUCUUUACAAAGGAAUUGACUAUCUUUAGGACCAAGGAAGUUGACUGCCUUAUCUAUUCCUUGUUGACUACCUUAUUCCCCAAGGAAACAUAGUUAUAAAAACGGUACCCGAAAGCUUCAGUUCUCACACCUUCCGCCAACUCAAACAAAUUUCCGGUCACCUUGUUUGUUUUCGGGCAAACCUUCAUUAUAUUCUGACCCUUUUGUUCAUCUCAGGUUUCAGAAGUUACAACCCAGUGUGGACCAGUUAAACAUAAUUUUGAACCAUCAUUAAAGGUUAGCAGGGAUGGCGGGAAAGUGUGAAGAGAGCUAAUGUAACACCUCGAAAAUUCAUGUCCAAUAAUGUAUUGACACGUGUCAUAAGCUUUGAACGUGUGAAAGAUUACGUAUGAAGGACUAAAGUUGACAAACAAGGAAAGUAUGUGAACAUAAGGGUUCAACAUGCCAAAAAUGAAUAAAUAUACUUUAAAAUAACCCUACAUGAUGUUUAUAUCCUUAAACGAAUAAAUCAUGGAUCAUACAAAGCUAAUUGUGAAAGAA